CAGCCACUCAUUCAAAGAGUGCGUAAUAGCUCACUGGUCGAGUGAUCCUGCGCCGAAGAUUUCCGGGGCUAAAACUUACUACCGAAGCUACGGCAUCAGUAAUGAUGGGUAGGGGAGCUUCCCAUACGGGUUGAAGCAUGACCGUAAGGACAUGUGGACAGUAUGGGAGUGAGAAUGUUGGCAUGAGUAGCGAGAUGUGGGUGAGAAUCCCACAGGCCGUAAACCCAAGGUUUCCAGGGGAAGGUUCGUCCGCCCUGGGUUAGUCGGGACCUAAGCUGAGGCCGAAAGGCGUAGGUGAUGGACAACAGGUUGAUAUUCCUGUACUACCGAUAACCGUUUGAGAGAAGGGAUGACACAGUAGGAUAAGCUAAGCACACUGUUGGUUAUGUGUGCCCAAGCAUUGAGGCAGUCAAAGUAGGCAAAUCCGCUUUGAUAAUGCUGGGAUGUGAUGGGGAGCGAAAUUUAGUAGCGAAGUAGCUGAUUUCACACUGUCAAGAAAAGUCUCUAUCGAGGUUAAAGGUACCCGUACCGCAAACCGACACAGGUGGGUGAGGAGAGUAUCCUAAGGCCAGCGAGAGAACUGUUGUUAAGGAACUCGGCAAAAUGACCCCGUAACUUAGGGAUAAGGGGUGCCACCAUCAGGUGGCCGCAGAGAAUAGGCCCAAGCGACUGUUUACCAAAAACAUAGGUUUCUGCUAAGUCGCAAGACGAUGUAUAGGAGCUGACGCCUGCCCGGUGCUGGAAGGUUAAGGGGAUCUGUUAGAGCAAUCGAAGCAGUGAACUUAAGCCCCAGUAAACGGCGGCCGUAACUAUAACGGUCCUAAGGUAGCGAAAUUCCUUGUCGGGUAAGUUCCGACCCGCACGAAAGGCGUAACGAUUUGGGCACUGUCUCAACAACAGACUCGGUGAAAUUGUAAUUCCGGUGAAGAUGCCGGAUACCUGCGACAGGACGGAAAGACCCCAUGGAGCUUUACUGUAGCUUGACAUUGGGUCUUGGUACUACAUGUACAGGAUAGGUGGGAGGCUUUGAAACCAGGACGCCAGUUUUGGCGGAGCCAUCCUUGGGAUACCACCCUUGUAGUACUGGGACUCUAACCAUAGGCCAUGAAUCUGGUCUUGGGACACUGUCAGGUGGGCAGUUUGACUGGGGCGGUCGCCUCCCAAAAGGUAACGGAGGCGCUCAAAGGUUCUCUCAGUACGGUCGGAAAUCGUACGUAGAGUGUAAAGGCAAAAGAGAGCUUGAUUGCAAGACAUACAGGUCGAGCAAGGAUGAAAAUCGGACUUAGUGAUCCGGUGGUUCUGCGUGGAAGGGCCAUCGCUCAACGGAUAAAAGCUACCCUGGG
This 1343-nucleotide ribosomal RNA is filed under the name Clostridioides difficile. RNAcentral describes it as "partial 23S ribosomal RNA". It matches the Rfam family "Bacterial large subunit ribosomal RNA", at positions 1113 to 2472 of the family's 2925-position model. Lineage: Bacteria; Bacillati; Bacillota; Clostridia; Peptostreptococcales; Peptostreptococcaceae. The record is from RNAcentral.